This 327-nucleotide ribosomal RNA is filed under the name Dabulamanzia sp. BMNH 704089. RNAcentral's name for it is "partial 12S ribosomal RNA". It matches the Rfam family "Bacterial small subunit ribosomal RNA", at positions 874 to 1372 of the family's 1533-position model. Lineage: Eukaryota; Metazoa; Arthropoda; Insecta; Ephemeroptera; Baetidae. The record is from RNAcentral.
ACUAGAAAGCUGCUAACUUAAGUCCUGAGUAGUACCAGAUUGCUUUAAACUCAAAGAAUUUGGCGGCAGCCCUACCCGUUAGAGGAGCCUGCCCUUUAAACGAUGACCCACGCUUAACUGUACCAUUAUUUAAAGUUUGUAUACCGCCGUAAAGAUUAUAUUGUAAAGUAUAUUCUUAAUUAUAUUAAUAAAAACUUCAGGUCAAGGUGCAGCACAUAUGAUGGAGGUGGUGGGCUACAUUAAAUUUACUUAUACGAAUUAAAAGUUGAAAACUUUUAGGAAGGUGGAUUUAACAGUAAGCUUAAUUUUUAUUAAGUUGAAGGGGUU